AGAGUUUGAUCCUGGCUCAGGACGAACGCUGGCGGCGUGCCUAACACAUGCAAGUCGAGCGAGACAUACAGCGGAUAGGAAAUUUUCGGAUGGAAUUGAAGAAGUAUGUUUUAGCGGCGGCGGGUGAGUAACGCGUGAGCAAUCUGUCCUUCACAGGGGGAUAACACAGCGAAAGUUGUAUAAUACCGCAUAAGACCACGGUGUUGCAUGACACAGGGGUCAAAGGAGAAAUCCGGUGAAGGUGAGCUCGCGUCCGAUUAGAUAGUAGGUGAGGUAACGGCCCACCUAGUCGACGAUCGGAGCCGACCUGAGAGGGUGAUCGGCCACAUUGGGACUGAGACACGGCCCAAACUCCUACGGAGGCAGCAGUGGGGAAUAUUGGGCAAUGGGGGGAACCCUGACCCAGCAACGCCGCGUGAGGAAGAAGGUUUUCGGAUCGUAAACCUCUGUCCUUGGUGAAGAGGAAGAGACGGUAGCCAAGAGGAAGCCCCGGCUAACUACGUGCCAGCAGCCGCGGUAAUACGUAGGGGGCGAGCGUUGCCGGAAUGAUUGGGCGUAAAGGGCGCGUAGGCGGCCAUUUAAGUCUGGAGUGAAAGUCCUGCUUCAAGUUGGGAAUUGCUUUGGAUACUGGAUGGCUUGAGUGCAGGAGAGGUAAGUGGAUUCCCAGUGUAGCGGUGAAAUGCGUAGAGAUUGGGAGGAACACCAGUGGCGAAAGCGACUACUGGACUGUAACUGACGCUGAGGCGCGAAAGUGUGGGGAGCAAACAGGAUUAGAUACCCGGUAGUCCACACUGUAAACGAUGAAUGCUAGGUGUAGGGGGUAUCGACCCCUUCUGUGCCCAGUUAACACAAUAAGCAUUCCGCCUGGGGA
Molecule: ribosomal RNA, 871 nt
Filed under: uncultured bacterium
Lineage: Bacteria
Description: bacterial SSU rRNA
Rfam family: Bacterial small subunit ribosomal RNA
Source: RNAcentral